GACAGAGGGUGCAAACGUUGUUCGGAAUACUGGGCGUAAAGCGCGUGUAGGCGGUCUCGCAAGUCGGAUGUGAAAGCCCAGGGCUCAACCCUGGAACGUGCACUCGAUACUGCGAGGCUAGAGUCCCGGAGAGGAUGGUGGAACUCUCGGUGUAGAGGUGAAGUUCGUAGAUAUCGAGAAGAACACCGGUGGCGAAGGCGGCCAUCUGGACGGUGACUGACGCUGAGACGCGAACGUGGGAGCAACAGGAUUAAGAUCCCGGUAGUAAGCUCAGACCAAGACCUCUGUCACG
This 292-nucleotide ribosomal RNA is filed under the name uncultured bacterium. Its description in RNAcentral is "partial 16S ribosomal RNA". It matches the Rfam family "Bacterial small subunit ribosomal RNA", at positions 524 to 820 of the family's 1533-position model. The record is from RNAcentral.